UAUAUUGUCAAUUACUGCAAGUAUUCUGCAUGCUUCAUAGAAAACAAACAAAAAAAACUAAAUUGUCGCACUCAAGAAGUUUUUCAGGGCAAUUCUCGCUACCGUAGUCACAAUAAGUUUUAAGAAAGUUAGCCAAUCACAAUGCGAGAAAGGUGCUAUUUGAUAGAUAAGAAUCGCACUAAGCCAAUCAGCGUUGCAAAUCUAUGUGCUUUCGAAAAAACGUUCGUUUUUGGGGUUCAGGAUCCCUGUGGCGCAAAAAAUCGGGAGCUAGGGUAGCCACAGGAUUCCCGAAACUGCGGGAACAGAUUUCCGAGUUAAACCACUUGAGAGACGGCUAGAUGGCUAGUGGACUGCUUGCUCAAUAAAUAUAGAUACCAAGAAUAUUAAAGAUAGGUAAAGACUUACUUCAGAAUAAACAUAGAUACCAAGAAUAUCAAAGAUAGGUAAAGACUUACUUCAAAAUAAAUAUAGAUACCAAGAAUAUCAAAGAUAGGUAAAGACUUACUUCAAAAUAAAUAUAGAUACCAAGAAUAUCAAAGAUAGGUAAAGACUUACUUCAGAAUAAAUAUAGAUACCAUGAAUAUCAAAGAUAAGUAAAGACUUACUUCAGAAUAAAUAUAGAUACCAAGAAUAUCAAAGAUAGGUAAAGACUUACUUCAGAAUAAAUAUAGAUACCACGAAUAUCAAAGAUAAGUAAAGACUUACUUCAGAAUAAAUAUAGAUACCAAGAAUAUCAAAGAUAGGUAAAGACUUACUUCGGAAUAAAUAUAGAUACCAAGAAUAUCAAAGAUAGGUAAAGACUUACUUCAGAAUAAAUAUAGAUACCAAGAAUAUCAAAGAUAGGUAAAGACUUACUUCAGAAUAAACAUAGAUACCAAGAAUAUCAAAGAUAGUUAAAGACUUACUUCAAAAUAAAUAUAGAUACCAAGAAUAUCAAAGAUAGGUAUAGACUUACUUCAAAAUAAAUAUAGAUACCAAGAAUAUCAAAGAUAGGUAAAGACUUACUUCAGAAUAAAUAAAGAUACCAAGAAUAUUAAAGAUAGGUUCAGAAUAAAUAUAGAUACCAAAAAUAUUAAAGAUAGGUAAAGACAAAAUAAAUAUAGAUACCAAGAAUAUCAAAGAUAGGUAAAGAAUUACUUCAGAAUAAAUAUAGAUACCAAGAAUAUCAAAGAUAGGUAAAGACUUACUUCAGAAUAAAUAUAGAUACCAAGAAUAUCAAAGAUAGGUAAAGACUUACUUCAGAACAAAUAUAGAUACCAAGAAUAUUAAAGAUAGGUAAAGACUUACUUCAGAAUAAAUAUAGAUACCAAGAAUAUUAAAGAUAGGUAAAGACUUACUUCAGAACAAAUAUAGAUACCAAAAAUAUUAAAGAUAGGUAAAGACUUACUUCAGAAUAAAUAUAGAUACCAAGAAUAUCAAAGAUAGGUAAAGACUUACUUCAGAAUAAAUAUAGAUACCAAGAAUAUCAAAGAUAGGUAAAGACUUCAGAAUAAUUAUAGAUACCAAGAAUGUAAAGACUUACUUCAGAAUAACUGAAGAAAUUGGAUUCUGUAAGAUGGGAUACUCAUAACAAUAACCAAGCUUAGAGCAUUGUGUGAUUUAAAAUAACAGUGUGACCA
Long non-coding RNA from Nematostella vectensis (starlet sea anemone), 1619 nucleotides. RefSeq lists it as uncharacterized. The record is from RefSeq and is a predicted model, not a curated record. Lineage: Eukaryota; Metazoa; Cnidaria; Anthozoa; Actiniaria; Edwardsiidae. The transcript is spliced from 2 exons.